RNAcentral lists this long non-coding RNA (319 nucleotides) under Elaeis guineensis (African oil palm). Its description in RNAcentral is "long non-coding RNA (EGUI_LNC019825)". Lineage: Eukaryota; Viridiplantae; Streptophyta; Magnoliopsida; Arecales; Arecaceae. The record is from RNAcentral.
AAGGUCAGAUGGUGGUUUGGUUGGCUGGGUGGUGCAUGGAAUGUGAGCGCCAGACUGGACAGUGGUCAAAUAUUUGGUUCCGCCGCGUGGGUGGGACCCGCUGGACAACGGUCCGUCAGAACCUGGAUCUCAGGCCACCCAGGGGGUGAAAAAAGUAAGAGGAGGAGAUGGCCUGCCUUCGCGCGUGGGAAAGGAGAGAGAAGAGGGAGAGUGUGGGAUGGAGGGGUGCGAGCACGUGGGAGGCGGCACGUGGGAGGCAGGGGAAUGAUGGUGUCGGCGUAGAAUGCGGCACGUGUGAGCAGGGCGCCGCGAAAAGCCG